GUGAACGCUGGCGGUAGGCCUAACACAUGCAAGUCGAACGGCAGCACAGGAGAGCUUGCUCUCUGGGUGGCGAGUGGCGGACGGGUGAGGAAUACAUCGGAAUCUGCCCAGUCGUGGGGGAUAACGUAGGGAAACUUACGCUAAUACCGCAUACGACCUUCGGGUGAAAGAGGGGGAUCGCAAGACCUCUCGCGAUUGGAUGAGCCGAUGUCGGAUUAGCUAGUUGGCGGGGUAAUGGCCCACCAAGGCGACGAUUCGUAGCUGGUCUGAGAGGAUGAUCAGCCACACUGGAACUGAGACACGGUCCAGACUCCUACGGGAGGCAGCAGUGGGGAAUAUUGGACAAUGGGCGCAAGCCUGAUCCAGCCAUACCGCGUGGGUGAAGAAGGCCUUCGGGUUGUAAAGCCCUUUUGUUGGGAAAGAAAUCUUUCAGGCUAAUACCCUGGGAGGAUGACGGUACCCAAAGAAUAAGCACCGGCUAACUUCGUG
Molecule: ribosomal RNA, 489 nt
Filed under: uncultured bacterium
Lineage: Bacteria
Description: partial 16S ribosomal RNA
Rfam family: Bacterial small subunit ribosomal RNA
Source: RNAcentral